Molecule: ribosomal RNA, 401 nt
Filed under: uncultured prokaryote
Description: partial 16S ribosomal RNA
Source: RNAcentral
CCCUCCGGGGUGCAGCAGGAAUGAUCACAGGUCAGCGCCACCACUUUCGCAUCGGUAAGGGUGCCGGCAAUAGCGAUCGGCCCGCCGGCAAUAAUAUCGUUUACUUGCACAUAAAACGCCCCGAUAGCCAACAGGCCGACAAGGCUGUAAAACAGGUGCCGGUGGUUGAUUAAACGGCGCAGGCUAAUAAUCACAAGUAUUCCCUCCUUCACAAAACAUCAUUAGUAUGUAUGCGCGGAGGGAAAGAUUUAUGAAAGGCAGCAACCAUGGUUAUUUUUUCGCCAGUUGACAAAGGUGCCGGGUAGAUGGCAGCGGGAAGUGAUAUUCUUACAUAAUACUCCCCUGGUUUCCAAAUGAAAGAUUUUCCGGGAGAUCGGCUGCGAAUGAAUUGGCGGGGGGGC